GACGAACGCUGGCGGCGUGCUUAACGCAUGCAAGUCGAACGGAAAGGCCCUGCUUUUGUGGGGUGCUCGAGUGGCGAACGGGUGAGUAACACGUGAGUAACCUGCCCUUGACUUUGGGAUAACUUCAGGAAACUGGGGCUAAUACCGGAUAGGAGCUCCUGCUGCAUGGUGGGGGUUGGAAAGUUUCGGCGGUUGGGGAUGGACUCGCGGCUUAUCAGCUUGUUGGUGGGGUAGUGGCUUACCAAGGCUUUGACGGGUAGCCGGCCUGAGAGGGUGACCGGCCACAUUGGGACUGAGAUACGGCCCAGACGCCUACGGGAGGCAGCAGUGGGGAAUAUUGCACAAUGGGCGGAAGCCUGAUGCAGCAACGCCGCGUGCGGGAUGACGGCCUUCGGGUUGUAAACCGCUUUCGCCUGUGACGAAGCGUGAGUGACGGUAAUGGGUAAAGAAGCACCGGCUAACUACGUG
Molecule: ribosomal RNA, 468 nt
Filed under: uncultured bacterium
Lineage: Bacteria
Description: partial 16S ribosomal RNA
Rfam family: Bacterial small subunit ribosomal RNA
Source: RNAcentral